GAUGAACGCUGGCGGCGUGCUUAACACAUGCAAGUCGAACGGAAAGGCCGAAGCUUGCUUCGGUACUCGAGUGGCGAACGGGUGAGUAACACGUGGGUGAUCUGCCCUGUACUUCGGGAUAAGCUUGGGAAACUGGGUCUAAUACCGGAUAUGACGAUCUCUUGGAUGGGGUUGUGGAAAGCUUUUGCGGUAUGGGAUGAGCUCGCGGCCUAUCAGCUUGUUGGUGGGGUAAUGGCCUACCAAGGCGUCGACGGGUAGCCGGCCUGAGAGGGUGUACGGCCACAUUGGGGCUGAGAUACGGCCCAGACUCCUACGGGAGGCAGCAAUGGGGAAUAUUGCACAAUGGGCGCAAGCCUGAUGCAGCGACGCCGCGUGGGGGAUGACGGCCUUCGGGUUGUAAACUCCUUUCGCAAUCGACGAAGCCUUUUGGUGACGGUAGGUUGAGAAGAAGCACCGGCUAACUACGUG
Molecule: ribosomal RNA, 468 nt
Filed under: uncultured bacterium
Lineage: Bacteria
Description: partial 16S ribosomal RNA
Rfam family: Bacterial small subunit ribosomal RNA
Source: RNAcentral